UACGGGAGGCAGCAGUGGGGAAUAUUGGUCAAUGGGCGAAAGCCUGAACCAGCAAUGCCGCCUGAGUGAUGAAGGCCUUCGGGUUGUAAAGCUAUGUCAGUGGGAACGAAUAAGUCGAUUAAUACUUGGCGAUGACGGUACCCACAAAGGAAGCACCGGCUAACUAUGUGCCAGCAGCCGCGGUAAUACAGAGGGUGCAAGCGUUGUUUGGAAUUAUUGGGCGUAAAGAGCGGGUGGGCGGUUUGAUAAGUAGGUCGUGAAAUCCCUAGGCUUAACCUAGGAACUGCGAUCGAAACUGUCAGACUAGAGUAUGGGAGGGGAUGGUAGAAUUCCUGGUGUAGAGGUGAAAUUCGUAGAUAUCAGGAGGAAUACCUGUGGGGAAGGCGACCAUCUGGAAGAUUACUGACGCUGAGACGCGAAAGCGUGGGGAGCAAACAGGAUUAGAUACCCUGGUAGUUCACGCCGUAAACUAUGAAUGAUAGGUGUUGUGGGUAUUGACCCCUUCAGUGCCAAAGCUAACGCGUUAAGCACUCCGC
This 536-nucleotide ribosomal RNA is filed under the name uncultured delta proteobacterium. RNAcentral describes it as "bacterial SSU rRNA". It matches the Rfam family "Bacterial small subunit ribosomal RNA", at positions 340 to 872 of the family's 1533-position model. Lineage: Bacteria; Deltaproteobacteria. The record is from RNAcentral.